UGUACUUGCUGGAAUAGGAUUUGACAGAAACCACUGACUUCCUAGCGCUACCAAACAAUUGUUCCUGAAAUUAGCAAUUUCAAAGGCAUGGGAAAGAGUCGAAGGCCUCACAAGUCUCAACACUGGUCUUAUUUCAUCCUUUAACCCACCAAUGAACCCAAAAAGAAAAUAGUUUUCAUCAAGAUAAGGCAUAAUCCUCUCCAUUCUAACCCAGAGUUCUUCAAAUUUAUCUUGAUAUUCUGCAACAGAACCUUCUUGCCUCAUUCUCAUGAAUUCUUCUACUACAUCCUCUGUCCCUUCAUCCCCAAACCUA
This 313-nucleotide unclassified non-coding RNA is filed under the name Hevea brasiliensis (rubber tree). The record is from RNAcentral. Lineage: Eukaryota; Viridiplantae; Streptophyta; Magnoliopsida; Malpighiales; Euphorbiaceae.